CAGACAACAGGACUACUUUUUCAAGCGUAAGCAUACAGGGGUGACGUUAGCUGCUCGAGCGUUUACUAUAUAAACCGUUCGCUUUUACUGCAUAAGACAACUGGGUGCAGCAGAUUGACUCGUCGAGGCGUGUGGUAUUGUUCAAUGCAGUAGUUUUUUUUCUUUUCACAAUCGAUAGGAGACAGCAGUUCUUUAAAUAGUGAAGAGUAAUUUGUUUCUUUCAAACUAUUUUAGUUGUUUUAAGCAAUUAAUUGUUAAGCUAAAAGCGAAGCCUGUCAGUUUAACGGCAGCUAGCUAAGAUGCUAUCUCUAACCUAACUAAUAUCAGUGUUAUAACGUUAGCAUUAUUUUGAUGGUAGCGAGGAUAAUAUUCUGUCAAAAACGAACGUUACUUGUCAGAAUCAUAACGUGUUAGAUGUAUGAAGGAAUUUGGUGUUUUCAGGUUACGAUUAGUAACUAACGUAUAACAAGCUAUGUUAGGUAACCUUAUCUAAGUCAGCUAACGUAUACUUGCUAGCAACCCAGUUAGUUAUAAUUAACGUUAGCAUCGUCAGCGAGGCCUAACCAAAGACGAGCCUGAACUAUCAUUAGCUCGCUUAACUAACCCUUACGUCAGCUAUGUCGGCGAUCAAGGGCCAGGCGGUUAUACAUUACUUAUUAACGGUUGAUUGUAUCGUUAUUUUAAACGAAGGCAGCAGUGUGACGUGAACACAUUCGCUUGUCAUCCGAUUCAUGAGUUCGCAAACGUUAGGACUAAAAGGGUCAAGUUGUAUUAUGACGAGUAACAGAAUUUCUGUGUACACGAAAGCAAUGAUCUGUGUUCGAUAAGGGACACUAGCUACCUAACAAAUUGGUAACGUUAAUUUCCAUAUUUGGUAUGGGUAUGUUGCCUCACUGAAGUGAAGGAAUAGUACUGGAAUGUUCGAGACAGCUGCGUGAGUCAGUCAAAAUGGCGGCGCGUCUUUGUAAGGAAAAAGUGGUGCAGUCACUAAGCAAUUGUGUAGUCUGAGGCAGUAGAACUUGCAGAAGAGGCUGUUGAAAUUCAGAGCAAUCAAUUUGUUAUGGUUUUUUUAAAACGUUUUUUUUUUUUUUUUCGGGAGACGGUUAACAAGCUAUACAUACUCAGCACUGAAUGGCACCAUCAAGUGGUGGCCUAUGGACUUUUUCGAGUUUAACGACAUGCAACAUAAAGCGGUGCUAGCAAUUAUUUUUAAUUUUUGUUUUUAUCCAUUGGUUUUUAUUUUGUUUAUACAUUUUGGCGGUAGCUGAAGAUUUGCCCUGCAGAUGUUAUUUGCUGUUUCUGGAGAGAAAGGACUGAGUUCAUUAGACCAACAUUACUCUCCAUAUGGACUUAGUUAGUGGUGAGCGUUGAUCUAGAAGAAUUUCAGGAUCAGAUGUCAGGACCGGGGACGACCAAAGGGAGCCAGAGGACCACCGGGCGGGAGCAGAGGGAGAGCAAGGCAGAGCCUGAGGGGGAGCCAGGGAGGAGCAGAGGGAGGAAACCAGGCAGGCACAGAUCCAAGCGAGGAGGAGGAGGAAGUGUCCACAACCUGGGGGAAUCGAGUGUCGCAAGGCAGAGUAGUCACCCUCGUGCAGAUGGUCCAGUGGGGCAGCAGGCCAGAGUGAACCAAAGAUGGGUCCCCAGCGACUUCAGUGGCAGGGAGAAGGGCGUACAAGCAGAGCUAAAAAGGGUCCCCCGCUAGCUUCACAAGUCAUAGGAGGAAGGUGUUGGGUUUGCGUGGUGUUUAACGCGUUGAUAUUCCCCCGUGUCGCCUGUCCCCUUGUUGGCUGAGUGGUUUCAACUGAGAUGAGUGCUGUGGUUUGUGUGCUGGGAAAACGACUGUCCCUCAACAUCCGCAACCUGGCAGCGUUUUGGCGUAGUCCCUCCACUGGAAAAGGCGUCUUUGUCCCUUUUGAAAUUCAGUAGGUUGUCUUAGAAGGCACCAUCUCCGGAGAUCGUGAGCAGUGGAAGUUCGUCCAAUCGUCUUUGACUUCUAUCUCCCACUUCAUCUGUCCAUCUACAUUUACACUGAGGCAGCUUCCUAAUCUGGUAAACAUGAGCUUUGAGUUUGCAUGAGUUUACAAUAAAGGGAGUAACUAUUCCCUUUUUAUUGCUCAUAGUUUCAAUCUUGGAUUUUUUUAAACAUAUAUAUUGAGUAAAAUUCGAAGUGAGGUCAUACUGUAGCGGUCACAUUUGAGUAUUGCACAUGUUGAGUCAAAGGUGGUCUGUAGGGGUUUGGGAGGGGAAAACGCGUUUUUCGAGUUCUUUUCCCUACAGGCUCAACUGGCUUGGGCGACCACACCCAGCGCAAGUUCCCACAGUAGCAAGAAUCCACACACUAGCUUGCACACCAGUACUCUUUGACCCAAAGGAUCAGGAUGUGCCUGAAACAGCAGCACUGUUCGAAUGUAGGAAGGUAUUUGCAAAGGUCUUCUAGAGAUUUGGAUCUUACUCCAUGAAAAUCUGAAUAAUUGUAUCUGUUUAUUGGGGAACCAUGUCAUCUUGCUGUGGGAGGGUGGGAUGUGGGAUGUUAAUCCAAAUGUCUUCCUUAGACUUCACAGCUCUAUUGUAAAAGCGGGUUUUCAAAAGAAAUGGCGUGAGUAGUCGUGUUUGGGAGCGGAACCACCAGUAUGCCUUUCAGCCACACUUCGAGCUAUAGCAAGUCCGUCAUGACACCAGCUCUUCGCCGUGACUGGGGUAACACGAGGCACAAGAUCAAAAUCUGAAAACGUAAAGCGAUUUGAGAUUUCAACCUGUGAGGUGGCUUUGUUCAAUUUAUCCAAUAGUAUUCUUGUUGCUGACCGGUGUUUGUGGCCAAAAAAAAACAAUGGGGUGUGGGGGGCCUGGGAACUACUUGAUUUUGACUUUUUCAGAUGUAUUUAAAACUACCCGCCCUCACUAAGAUCUGGUGGUCCCUCCAUUGCCUACCACGGAGCACAACUGAUGCGUACAGGCUCAAGGCGUUGUAACCUUGUUGGUAUGGCAAGUAAUCUGUUAGUGCUUUUCAUAAAUUAUGUGCUUGAUCUACUUAAUGUAUGUAUUUGAGUGCCUUAUGAAACUUCCUUGACUUGUAGUUGCUGUAAUGAAUAAAUUGUGUUGUGGGGUUAUAUUGCAUAAUCUGGGGUGGGAUGGUGCAAGGUGUCUUUCUCCCCCUUUGCAUUUUUCAGUGUACCAGUGCUUGCAUACUCCAGCCCUACAGGAGGUCUAGCUCUUAAAAUGUAACGGUUUGCUUAUUCCAUCAAACUUCAGUCUCGGAUCACGUAAGCUUGUUAACCGCUGCUUAUCUUGUUUAAUUACUUGCGUGUUGUAAAAAAAAAAAAAUCCUGUAAAGGGUUACUUUGCCAGUUGGCUUUUCAUGCAUUGUAAGAAUGUAUAAUAAGUUAUCUGUAAAGAAUAUUUGGUAAAUAAAUACAUAGUACGUUGUGAUGGAAUACGUUCUGGUAUGCAUUUGUUUCUUGGGGUGUUUGGGGCCUAUGGGGGAUUCUCUUGUACUUUUUCAGGUGUUGUAAACUUGGGAGCUUUUUAAGCACAAGACCAGGGCUUGAUGGCGUUCUUUCCGAGUGGAAUUGAAGGCAGAUAAGUCAUGAUGGUUCAUGUUUCGUGGGAAGUUCAUGUACCCAGCUAGUCUUUGCUAAACAAAAAAAUGAAGAUCAACUUAUCUUGAUAACAAUUUUUUGAAGGGUUAUUGGACACUUAAUAUAGUAAAGACAUUUUAACCAUGUUGAUUUGUAGAAUGGAUCUCUUGAAUGUCCCGUAUAAAGCAUAAUGGGACUCAAAUCUAAAGAUUUGAGAGGGAAACCCAUGGAGACCCUUUUUGAGGUAUUAUUGUUGUCUUGGUCUGGGUGGGGCUAGGGGUGUCUCUUUUUGAUCUUGCAGAGUCGUACAGUGCCACAGUGAAGAUUGCCAUCGCUCGGGUGUGUGUUGACGACAGGAGCAACCAGUCCUUUGAACUCCUCUUGAUGGAACCGCACAGUUUGUGCUCUUUUGAUAGAUCGUGUUAAGUACAGUCAUUUAUCCAAAUUGUCAUUUGGUAGACGUAGCCUCAGUCACAAGCACCUGUGCAACUGUGCAGGAGCGUAGCUAAAAUGACUAAUGCUUUGCAAAUGCAUAGCAUGUAUUGAGUCACGCAACUGUGUGAUACCCAAAGUUGAUGUGACUGAAAAGCUGUGCAACUGUGCAGCUUUAAUUGGUUUGGUCAUUGUUCUUAAACUUGAAUGUUGACUACAUAGCUUUUUAGCCAAAUGUCAGGUAGGGGGGGGUAGAGGGUCUUUUGCACUCUUUCUUUUCACUUUUGCAGAUAACGCAAACCCAUGCUGCUGCGCGUAUGAGUGGUGUGAAGUCCCCUUGUGGAGCACAUUGAAACCAGGUGUUUUGUCAUUUCAUAAGAAAUGUUCCUGGAAUGUCAGUCUGGUUCAAUGGAAACACUACAAACUGCUUCUUUUAUUCUACAUUUCAUAACAUUCGUCUUUGAACAGUGCCUAUAAGCAUCCCCAUUGCUCAUAACCCUGAGAGCACAUUUAACUCUGAGUUAGUUCCUGCAAAUGUUGGUGUUUUGUUCUAUGUGUUUGUGGUGGGAAUGUGUGUAGUAGCUUCUUAUUUCAGAUCACUCAUCUGUCCACUCCAUUUGCAACUGCACCUGAAUGAAAGGCUGUCUGGGAGCUGUCGGCAAAUGAAUGAGUCCUCACUGACUGAUGACCGACCCUGUGUGCGCUUGAGCUUAGUCCUGACCUUCGAAGUCCUUCAUCCCGAAGUCCUUCUCUGCGUGCUGUGUGUCUAUCCUGUUUCCCACUCCUUCGUUUCUUAGGCCAAAAUUCCAAUAGGAGCCCCACAUUUCUCAUGUGUGUGUCUGGGAACGCCCUAACCGUGUGAUGAAGCACUGGGAAAUCCUUUCCUGUCCAAUCAAGAGCUACACGCUUGUCUCACUGCUAAAUGAACCUCAGAUUGCUGUUUCUUGGUGUAUCAAGUGAGGUCCUUUUAAUCUUAAUUUUCACGGGUACUUGUUGCAAUUUUAACUUCAUGUAUUGCAUGAACCUCGGCUUUGCAUAACCCUGAUGGAGAAAUAAUUUUAACAGCUUAAUGUUAAGUCAUUUCAUUCUAUAUACCACAUGCUAUAGGGUGGGUUUUCUUGGGUUUGUAUUUGGGGUGGGGUGGGGCGCAAACCAAACUGUCUUCUUUGCAGAUAGUGUUUCGAUCCCUCAAAAAAGCACAACUGACCCCGCUUGCAACUGAUCAGACUGGAUGUGUGAGUGGAUGCGCGUCUGUAUCUAAGCAGCAGUUCAAACAAUUGUCUUCUGUGAGCAUCAGCAGUUUGAAGAUUGUGUUGCCGUUGCUUGGUUUGUACUAUACAACCAUAGCUUGCUACAGUAAUGUGUCUGUUUUGCUUUUCUUAAUACAUGUAUAUAAAAAGGGGUUUUCCGAUGAGAUUGUGGGGGGAGGGGGGUUGGGGGCUGUAAACUAUCCUUUCUCUUGUCUUUGCAGCUUUCCAAGCUAAAGUCAACGUACGUCUCACUUGAGUGUUGACCGAAGCUUCGCUGAGCAGGCAAUGCUAUCCAUUUCAGAUUUGAAAGGUCUUUUGUAAACUACUUGAGCAAAACAAUUUAAUUGAGAAGCAAACAAAGUUCUUGGGAUUCGCUGGGGGAUGGGGAAACCUGCAGUGUUUUUUUUGUAGUUCUAGGCUCAUCGGAAAGUCAACUUGCCAGUGUUGAAUACUAGUGUGGCACUUGGUGGGGUUUGUAUUUUUAUUUAAUUGGUUCAUAAUCAGUUCUUUUAUACCGUAACUUAAUAUGGGGGGUGGGGGGUGGCAUGUAAACUUGUUUUCUCUUUGCAGUUUACAGCUUUAGGUACAUGCAGUGCGUCAAAUCCAAGGGAUCAAUUCAAAUCUUGCUGAUGAAUCAAAAGUGAUAAGUGGCCAUUUGAUCAAUUCAUCUCUGGUGUCCUAACAUGGAAAACAAAUUGUCUGAUGCCCUUAAGCAGUACUGGAGAAGUCGAUGUACGGGUUGUGCAAGGGAUGGGGAAACCUGCAGUUUUCUGUUUGUAGUUUCAGGCCACUCAGGGAGCCAAGACGAGUUGCGCAGCAGGUGCCAGGUUUUUCUUUUCCUGGAG
Clupea harengus (Atlantic herring) is the source of this 6102-nucleotide long non-coding RNA. The record is from Ensembl. NCBI's taxonomy places the organism in Eukaryota, Metazoa, Chordata, Actinopteri, Clupeiformes, Clupeidae.